GGACGCCUCUCCCUAUCCUGUGGUCAUACAAAGCAUCUGAGAUUUUCCUCGUAUCUAUCUUUUCACCAGUAUGACUCUGCAUUAGCUAUUUGUCCAGAGAGAAAGUAGGUGAAUGUUGAUUAUUUGUUUGGUACCUAUUCCCCCAAGAGGGGUGCUAGUGUCCUGAUGCUGACCAGGAGCACCGGUUCCGCCACUUGCUUCCUGCUGGAGUCUUAGCACCAACUGGAUGAGGGGACUCCUCUCCGUUUUGAAUUCCUGGCUCUCCAUGGCUUUGAAGUAAUAUGAUGUGGGGUCCUCAAAUGCUGCCAGAACUUGAAGGCCCAUUGCAUCUUGAGGCCUUUUGGACAGAGGAGAGGAGGACCGAGCUGGUUAACCUCUACACAAAUAGAUGCACGUCAAGUGAUGCUUGGGGGAGUGAGACCGCCGGUAUACCCACCUACAGUAUAUUGAUCCCGACAUCAGUGCCACAUAUUUCUUGAUGGCAAUUGGUCGACUUGUAAAAAAAAAGCAUGAUCUCCACUGGCCGUUCCAUUCGAGUAGGAUCAUGACCAGUCUGAAGAGCGGGUAGGUGAGGACACUGUUCUGCUUAAGGAACCAUCCCAGAGGCCCGUCUGACACUUUCUCUAGAAGACAGGUGAUGACUCUACGCAGGAUUUUUGGGUGAUGGGACACAUUGUGACUAUAGUGCACCAGGUGUUUUACCUACAGGUACAGUGGACCCAUCAGUGGACCCAGCCCAAACUCCCCAGCUGACCAUAAUGGAACCAGUGACACAGAGAGAUCCAGACUGCAUCCUGCCAGCACUCUCAUUCUCUCCCUCUCUUUCCCUCCCUCCCUCUUUUACUCUCUUUCUCUCCCACCUGCCCUUUCUCUUUCUUUCUCUCCUUCCUUCUCUCUCCCUUUCUCUUUUUUGAAUUCCCCCUUCUGUCUUUCUCUCCCUUCUUCUAUCCCUCUCUUUCUCUCUAGCUCCCUCCCUCUCCAUCUCUCUCUCUCUCUCUCUCUCUCUCUCUCUCUCUCUCGCUCUCUCAUGGUAAUUCAUGCAUUGGCUGAAGGGGGGGGAGUGGGGGUUUGUUAUGUUUAUUGUUUAGACAUUAUUGGGUUGCUUGAUGUAUGUACUUGUUGUUACUGUUGGCAACAAUGCUGUGUUGAUAUUAACGUUGUAACAGAUAAAAUAAAUAAAAACAAAUAAUGAUUCAAGAAAUGGUCAAAAUAUGUUUUCCUGCGACCUUGUGCUAGUUAUCUAGGAGAAGAGCAGAAGUUCAGGUGAAGCCAGAAACUGUGGUACUACAGGCAGCAGCAUUGUGAGUUCAGGUGAAGUUCAGGAACUGUGGUGCAGGCAGCAGCAUCGCACCAUAUUUGUGUCUUGGGAAACUCCGGUAAGGUGGAUGAUGAGGAAGGUAGACACUGGUGAACUCAGAGAAGGUGGAUGAUGAGGAAGGUAGACACUGGUAAACUCAGAGAAGGUGGGUGAUGAGGAAGGUAGACACUGGUAAACUCAGAGAAGGUGGAUGAUGAGGAAGGUAGACACUGGUGAACUCAGAGA
Long non-coding RNA from Sardina pilchardus (European sardine), 1543 nucleotides. RefSeq lists it as uncharacterized. NCBI's taxonomy places the organism in Eukaryota, Metazoa, Chordata, Actinopteri, Clupeiformes, Clupeidae. The transcript has 7 exons. The record is from RefSeq and is a predicted model, not a curated record.